GAGUUUGAUCCUGGCUCAGGAUAAACGCUGGCGGCGCACAUAAGACAUGCAAGUCGAACGAACUUAAUACCUUGCUUGCAAGGUAAGCGGUUAGUGGCGGACUGGUGAGUAACACGUAAGAAAUCUGCCUAUCAGAGGGGAAUAACAGUGAGAAAUCACUGCUAAUACCGCAUAUGCCAUAGUUAUCGCAUGAUAAUAGUGGGAAAGAAGCAAUUCGCUGAUAGAUGAGCUUGCGGCUGAUUAGCUAGUUGGUGGGGUAACGGCCUACCAAGGCGACGAUCAGUAGCCGGCCUGAGAGGGUGAACGGCCACAUUGGGACUGAGACACGGCCCAAACUCCUACGGGAGGCAGCAGUGGGGAAUAUUGCACAAUGGGGGAAACCCUGAUGCAGCGACGCCGCGUGAGUGAAGAAGUAUUUCGGUAUGUAAAGCUCUAUCAGCAGGGAAGAAAAUGACGGUACCUGACUAAGAAAGCCCCGGCUAACUACGUGCCAGCAGCCGCGGUAAUACGUAGGGGGCAAGCGUUAUCCGGAUUUACUGGUGUAAAGGGAGCGUAGACGGCAGCGCAAGUCUGAGUGAAAUCCCAUGGCUUACCCAUGAAACUGCUUUGGAAACUGUGCAGCUGGAGUGCAGGAGAGGUAAGCGGAAUCCUAGUGUAGCGGUUGAAAUGCGUAGAUUAUCAGAAGGAACACCGGUGGCCGAGGCGGCCUGCUGGGCUUUUACUGACGCUGAGGCUCGAAGCGUGGGUAGCAAACAGGAUUAGAUACCCUGGUAGUCCACGCGGUAAACGAUGAUUACUAGGUGUGGGUGGACUGACCCCAUCCGUGCCGGAGUUAACACAAUAAGUAAUCCACCUGGGGAGUACGGCCGCAAGGUUGAAACUCAAAGGAAUUGACGGGGGCCCGCACAAGCAGUGGAGUAUGUGGUUUAAUUCGACGCAACGCGAAGAACCUUACCAGGUCUUGACAUCGAGUGACGGACAUAGAGAUAUGUCUUUCCUUCGGGACACGAAGACAGGUGGUGCAUGGUUGUCGUCAGCUCGUGUCGUGAGAUGUUGGGUUAAGUCCCGCAACGAGCGCAACCCUUACCAUUAGUUGCUACGCAAGAGCACUCUAAUGGGACUGCCGUUGACAAAACGGAGGAAGGUGGGGAUGACGUCAAAUCAUCAUGCCCCUUAUGACCUGGGCGACACACGUACUACAAUGGCGGUCAACAGAGGGAGGCAAAGCCGCGAGGCAGAGCAAACCCCUAAAAGCCGUCUCAGUUCGGAUUGCAGGCUGCAACUCGCCUGCAUGAAGUCGGAAUUGCUAGUAAUCGCGGAUCAGCAUGCCGCGGUGAAUACGUUCCCGGGCCUUGUACACACCGCCCGUCACACCAUGAGAGCCGGUAACACCCGAAGUCAAUAGUCUAACCGCAAGGAGGACAUUGCCGAAGGUGGGAUUGGUAAUUGGGGUGAAGUCGUAACAAGGUAGCCGU
Molecule: ribosomal RNA, 1475 nt
Filed under: [Clostridium] leptum
Lineage: Bacteria; Bacillati; Bacillota; Clostridia; Eubacteriales; Oscillospiraceae
Also listed under: 1 other name
Description: bacterial SSU rRNA
Rfam family: Bacterial small subunit ribosomal RNA
Source: RNAcentral